Molecule: long non-coding RNA, 1897 nt
Organism: Pygocentrus nattereri (red-bellied piranha)
Lineage: Eukaryota; Metazoa; Chordata; Actinopteri; Characiformes; Serrasalmidae
Exons: 5
Source: RefSeq, a predicted model, not a curated record
GGAGUGUACUUCCUGACUGGAGGCGAGUGUUUGUUGAAAUAAGUGGAGAUUUCCUGCUUGUCUUUUGGAAGGGAUGAGGUGGCUGUGUGUGAUCGCUGUGAAUGCAGUGGAGCUUUGGGCUGCUCCACGCUGAGGAGUUUGUGUGCUGGAGAUGAAGCUGGAGCUGGAUCAGACAGCGUGUGCAGGGCCAGCAGCGUCCGCCAUGCAAGAGAGAAGUUCAUUAUGUGCUAACGAAGAUGAAGAUGGAGACAAAGGAGACGCGGAGUGACUAUGUUUGGUUUGGUGUAUGGAGAAGAGGAGGGCGCCUUGUCUGCUGCGAGUGAUGCAAUGCGGUUACUCAACUAGAACGGGCCUGUUUACAACAUGACAACAGGAGCCGCAGUUUCUCAUGCCUGUUUAAUUGAAAGCAGGUCUUCCUCUAAAGAGUCCAGAUCCUGGUCAGUGCUGUCAUUCUUGAUGUAAGGAAUGUGAAAGAUGACAGUUAUGACCUUCCCUUUCCUCCCCCUGCAGCCCAGACCUGCAGGUCCAUCGUCUUAUCUUCCACUCCUCUGCUUCCCUAAAACAUGCUGGAGCCGCUGUAUUAUUCUCUCAUUGGAGACGAAGGAAAAUCCAUCGUUUACGUUUAAGUGGAGCAGGCCACCCUGACCGUACAGACAGCAGUAAGAAGGAGGGGAGGAGAGAAGGGAGGGAUGGAGAGUGAAAAGGGAGAAAGUGUAUGAUGACGAAUAACGCAAAAGAAAGUGGGAGAGAGAGGGAAACAAAAGAAGGGGAAACAAAGAGGCUGAAAUAGGAAGGGACUGAGAAAGUUAGCAAGAGAAAGACGUACAAAGAGCAAGGAAGAUGAAGACUUUUUUCUUUCUUUUUUUCUUUCUUUCAAAUCAACACCAGGGUGAUGCAUCAUCUCCAAAUUUCAGCUUGGUUGAGCAAAAACAGCCCCGUCCUCCAAGCCUCCACUCAAGCUGGAGUGUUUCAAGGUUAUACUAACUCAAGCAUGCUGCACCAAUAACAUAAACAGUGCGAUAACCAGCUGCCCGGCAGAUUUCUGUCAUAACUCAUGCCCAUAGACGGCCUGAGGGCCUGCUAUUUCUUUUGGACACAUAAAAUUGAGGAGGAACAAUAUUUUUGAUUCCAACAUUCUGUUUGGCAUUCUUUGUAUGGCACACUCAUGCGAAUCACUGAACAAGCUCAUUUUGCAGUGUCUUAAAAUCACUCCACAAACACUCAACCCUGCCCUUAAUAAUCCUUAAUGCUGAGGCAAUUUUUCCUGUUGCAAUAUCUCAGCUUAGUGCCAUUGACUUAAUUCUGUGGCCAUUAUGUAUGUCUGAUGUCUUUCUAACUACUCUGUCUACUCUUUCUCCUGGGGACAGCCUUAAAGGAGCUUUCUGGUCGAGAGUUCAAUAUGUAAUUUGAUGUGUUAUUCUUUGCAUCCCUCAGCCUCAUUGGUUUGACAGAAUUGAUUUUAUAUUUUUUUCAUGUUUAUGUUCAUUGGUGUCCUCUCACUAACUCACUAUAAUCCCUAGGGUGUCAACCAAUCCUGAAUGCCUAGCCACUGAUCUAACAACAGGGUAACUCACCUCAGUUGUCAAAAAAAAAAACAAAGAUAACAGCAGUUACAUCUUUAUUCAGCACAAACUAUAUUCCAGCAAAAGUUUUUGACCCUUUCAGCCAGAGAAAAGAAGCUAAGCUGAGGUAAGGUAGCACAUAACUUCUUGUCCUCCUCAUCUGACAAGUAAAUUGCUUUGGAUGAGUAAUCUAUUCUCUCCAUUGUAAUUCUACUUUAAGACAGUAAUGUUAGCCAGCUGGUUUCCUUCCUUCCUCCAGCUAACAGAAAAAAACAACAACCACAAAAAAAAAAAAAAUUCAAAUGUCCUGUCCCCAAAUAUCCAGCUCAAAAUAU